AGAGUUUGAUCCUGGCUCAGGAUGAACGCUAGCGGCAGGCUUAACACAUGCAAGUCGAGGGGCAGCGGGGUGUAGCAAUACACUGCCGGCGACCGGCGCACGGGUGCGUAACGCGUAUGCAACCUACCCAUAACAGGGGCAUAACACUGAGAAAUUGGUACUAAUUCCCCGUAACAUUCGAGGAGGCAUCUCUUUGGGUUGAAAACUCCGGUGGUUAUGGAUGGGCAUGCGUUGUAUUAGCUAGUUGGUGGGGUAACGG
This 259-nucleotide ribosomal RNA is filed under the name uncultured bacterium. RNAcentral describes it as "partial 16S ribosomal RNA". It matches the Rfam family "Bacterial small subunit ribosomal RNA", at positions 8 to 263 of the family's 1533-position model. The record is from RNAcentral.